UUAAGGUUCGUUUGUUCACGAUUAAAGUCCUACGUGAUCUGAGUUCAGACCGGAGUAAUCCAGGUCAGUUUCUAUCUAUAAAAAAUUUUUUCUAGUACGAAAGGACCGAAAAAAUAGAGCCCAUUAUCAAACAAUGCUCUCACACAGUUGAAAACAAAUAAAACACGCACACACAAACACAUCCUAGAACAGGAUAAA
Molecule: ribosomal RNA, 198 nt
Filed under: Tylototriton podichthys
Lineage: Eukaryota; Metazoa; Chordata; Amphibia; Caudata; Salamandridae
Description: partial 16S ribosomal RNA
Source: RNAcentral